Molecule: transfer RNA, 65 nt
Filed under: Liriomyza trifolii (celery leafminer)
Lineage: Eukaryota; Metazoa; Arthropoda; Insecta; Diptera; Agromyzidae
Description: tRNA-Leu
Rfam family: tRNA
About the family: Transfer RNA (tRNA) molecules are approximately 80 nucleotides in length. Their secondary structure includes four short double-helical elements and three loops (D, anti-codon, and T loops). Further hydrogen bonds mediate the characteristic L-shaped molecular structure. tRNAs have two regions of fundamental functional importance: the anti-codon, which is responsible for specific mRNA codon recognition, and the 3' end, to which the tRNAs corresponding amino acid is attached (by aminoacyl-tRNA synthetases). tRNAs cope with the degeneracy of the genetic code in two manners: having more than one tRNA (with a specific anti-codon) for a particular amino acid; and 'wobble' base-pairing, i.e. permitting non-standard base-pairing at the 3rd anti-codon position.
Source: RNAcentral
UCUAAUAUGGCAGAUUAGUGCAAUGGAUUUAAGCUCCAUAUAUAAAGUGUUUAACUUUUAUUAGA